UCUAGACUGGCUACAUGUCUGCUAC
Molecule: unclassified non-coding RNA, 25 nt
Filed under: Mus musculus (house mouse)
Lineage: Eukaryota; Metazoa; Chordata; Mammalia; Rodentia; Muridae
Description: oocyte_clustered_small_RNA1531
Source: RNAcentral